Molecule: ribosomal RNA, 474 nt
Filed under: uncultured microorganism
Description: bacterial SSU rRNA
Rfam family: Bacterial small subunit ribosomal RNA
Source: RNAcentral
GAGUUUGAUCGUGGCUCAGGAUGAACGCUAGCGGCGCGCCUAAUGCAUGCAAGUCGAGCGAUGAGGCACCUUUGGGUGUACAUCAGCGGCAGACGGGUGAGUAACACGUAGGUGACCUACCCGAAGACGGGGAUAACAGGUGGAAACAUCUGCUAAUACCCGAUGGACUCUGAGCGGAAGCGAGGAGUAAAGGCUACGGUGCUUCGGGAGGGCCUGCGGCCUAUCAGCUAGUUGGUAGGGUAACGGCCUACCAAGGCGAAGACGGGUAGGGGUGUGAGAGCACGGCCCCCCACAAUGGGACUGAGACACGGCCCAUACUCCUACGGGAGGCAGCAGCAGGGAAUAUUGCGCAAUGGGCGGAAGCCUGACGCAGCGACGCCGCGUGGAUGAAGAAGGCCUUCGGGUUGUAAAAUCCUUUUCUAGGGGACGAGGAGGACGGUACCCCGUGGAAUAAGCGUCGGCUAACUACGUGCA